This 1125-nucleotide long non-coding RNA is filed under the name Bos indicus x Bos taurus (hybrid cattle). RNAcentral describes it as "lncRNA (ENSBIXG00000024117.1)". Lineage: Eukaryota; Metazoa; Chordata; Mammalia; Artiodactyla; Bovidae. The record is from RNAcentral.
AAAUGGAAACUGCUUCAAGUUCAAGCCAUAUUUAAAAACACAACCACAUGGGUGGCAGGAAGGAGGGUAACAGCUGUGUUCAAAUAUUUUUCUGAAGGGAUGAACACCCGACCUCAUUCAGCUGUCUCUCUCAAGAGACUGAAGUGGCUCUGUGUGGGUCCUGCUAUGUUUGGACCUGCCCCCAGCCCCUUCCGAGGCCUCUCUGACCCAGUGAAGAUGAUGAAACAUGGUAGCCAGGAGGGGCUGCCCAGAACCUUUUAUUUUCCCAAGGGUGGAAACAGGACCUUACCUUGGGCUCUAACCACAUCUGAUCAUGAAGGGGCUGAGAAUGAAUUCCACACAAGCUGCCACCCAAACUGCCCCUGGGAUCUCUCCGCCUUGGAGGCCAGACAGGUCCUCAUUUCCUGCUCCUGGCACCAGCAGCCCAGCCCCCAGCGAGGAAGAAGCUGGGCUGCCCAGGCCGGCCCUUCCGAGGAACAGCACGGUCACCGGGAGGAAGGAACAUGCGCAGCUUUCCCCCUCCUGCCUUCUUGUUGGCCAAAACUGUGCACGACGAGCUGAAGGGCCAUUUCAAGCCUCGGCAGCGUUUGGGAAAGUGGACAAGGGACUCAUUCAGUGACGUGCAAGUUUGAGCGGAGCCAAGAAUGAAGCAUGGAUUUCACGAAAUGAGGAGUAGCCUUGGACCACACACAGAGCCGGUUCUGAACUGGGGCUGCCUGCCUGCCCCUUCGCAUCACACACACACACACACACACACACACACACACUCACACACACACACACUCACUCCCUCUCCUCACCAUGACAGACGGCCCUGACUAACAGCAAGAAAGCUCACUGGUGUCCACAUGAGGGCUGCGGGGGUGUCCUGGGCUCGGGCGGCCCUUUGUGAGCAACAAGCUGAUGAAAAAAUGGAUUACUGCAGUGUGUGCACCCCAUCCUAAAGAGAGCUCACACAAAAGGCAGAGCCAGAGCUGUUAGAGAAAACAACGGAGCUGAACAAAAGUUGUUGAAAUCACUUUUGAUUGGGGAUGCAUGAAACAUCCAAGUUUUCCCUUGGAAUGAGGCCCAUUUUUGGAGACUUGCCCUGAGUUCAGCAAGUCCAGAGGAUGCACCUACCCCUAC